This 467-nucleotide ribosomal RNA is filed under the name uncultured ciliate. Its description in RNAcentral is "SSU rRNA". It matches the Rfam family "Eukaryotic small subunit ribosomal RNA". Lineage: Eukaryota; Ciliophora. The record is from RNAcentral.
AUUUGUCUGGUUAAUUCCGAUAACGAACGAGACCUUAACCUGCUAACUAGUUUCUGAUAUCCUAUAUCAGUUUACUUCUUAGAGGGACUAUGUAAAAUAAAUACAUGGAAGUUUGAGGCAAUAACAGGUCUGUGAUGCCCUUAUAUGUCCUGGGCUGCACGCGUGCUACACUGAUGCAUACAACAAGUGCCUCACCAGACAUGGUAUGGCAAUCUCGAAUAUGCAUCGUGAUGGGGAUAGAUCUUUGCAAUUAUAGAUCUUGAACGAGGAAUUCCUAGUAAGUGCAAGUCAUCAUCUUGCAUUGAUUAUGUCCCUGCCCUUUGUACACACCGCCCGUCGCUCCUACCGAUACCGGGUGAUCCGGUGAACCUUUUGGACCUCUUUUGAGGAAAGAUAAGUAAACCAUAUCACCUAGAGGAAGGAGAAGUCGUAACAAGGUUUCCGUAGGUGAACCUGCRGAAGGAUCA